GGGGAAUAUUGCACAAUGGGCGCAAGCCUGAUGCAGCCAUGCCGCGUGUGUGAAGAAGGCCUUCGGGUUGUAAAGCACUUUCAGCGGGGAGGAAGGCGAUAAGGUUAAUAACCUUGUCGAUUGACGUUACCCGCAGAAGAAGCACCGGCUAACUCCGUGCCAGCAGCCGCGGUAAUACGGAGGGUGCAAGCGUUAAUCGGAAUUACUGGGCGUAAAGCGCACGCAGGCGGUCUGUCAAGUCGGAUGUGAAAUCCCCGGGCUCAACCUGGGAACUGCAUUCGAAACUGGCAGGCUAGAGUCUUGUAGAGGGGGGUAGAAUUCCAGGUGUAGCGGUGAAAUGCGUAGAGAUCUGGAGGAAUACCGGUGGCGAAAGCGGCUCUCUGGUCUGUAACUGACGCUGAGGCUCGAAAGCGUGGGGAGCAAAC
RNAcentral lists this ribosomal RNA (425 nucleotides) under uncultured bacterium. RNAcentral describes it as "bacterial SSU rRNA". It matches the Rfam family "Bacterial small subunit ribosomal RNA", at positions 356 to 773 of the family's 1533-position model. The record is from RNAcentral.